UGCAGCUUUGUCAAAUUCAAUGCUACCUCCUCGGUAGGUUGCAUUGGCCAAAAUGGCUGCAACAGCAAGCGUAGUUCAUGGGCCCCGCCAUUCUUCCUAAUGAAUACUGGGGAUAAAUAUGUACUGCUGACAAUA
Takifugu rubripes (torafugu) is the source of this 135-nucleotide small nucleolar RNA. Ensembl annotates it as small nucleolar RNA SNORA5. The record is from Ensembl. NCBI's taxonomy places the organism in Eukaryota, Metazoa, Chordata, Actinopteri, Tetraodontiformes, Tetraodontidae.